RNAcentral lists this ribosomal RNA (497 nucleotides) under uncultured bacterium. Its description in RNAcentral is "partial 16S ribosomal RNA". It matches the Rfam family "Bacterial small subunit ribosomal RNA", at positions 28 to 507 of the family's 1533-position model. The record is from RNAcentral.
GACGAAUGCUGGCGGCGUGCCUAAUACAUGCAAGUUGAGCGCUGAAGGUUGGUACUUGUACCAACUGGAUGAGCAGCGAACGGGUGAGUAACGCGUGGGGAAUCUGCCUUUGAGCGGGGGACAACAUUUGGAAACGAAUGCUAAUACCGCAUAAAAACUUUAAACACAAGUUUUAAGUUUGAAAGAUGCAAUUGCAUCACUCAAAGAUGAUCCCGCGUUGUAUUAGCUAGUUGGUGAGGUAAAGGCUCACCAAGGCGAUGAUACAUAGCCGACCUGAGAGGGUGAUCGGCCACAUUGGGAUUGAGACACGGCCCAAACUCCUACGGGAGGCAGCAGUAGGGAAUCUUCGGCAAUGGACGAAAGUCUGACCGAGCAACGCCGCGUGAGUGAAGAAGGUUUUCGGAUCGUAAAACUCUGUUGGUAGAGAAGAACGUUGGUGAGAGUGGAAAGCUCAUCAAGUGACGGUAACUACCCAGAAAGGGACGGCUAACUACGUG